AUUGAACGCUGGCGGCAGGCUUAACACAUGCAAGUCGAGCGGGGAAAGGUAGCUUGCUACCUAACCUAGCGGCGGACGGGUGAGUAAUGCUUAGGAAUCUGCCUAUUAGUGGGGGACAACAUCUCGAAAGGGCUGCUAAUACCGCAUACGUCCUACGGGUGAAAGCAGGGGACCUUCGGGCCUUGCGGUUAGGGAUGAGCCUAAGGCGGAUUUGCUAGUUGGUGGGGUAGAGGAGUACGAAGGCGACGAUGUGUAGCGGGUCUGAGAGGGUGAUCGGCCACAUUGGGCCUGAGAUACGGGCCGGACUGAUACGGGAGGAAGCAGUGGGGCAUUUUGCACAAUGGGCGGAAGUGUGAUGAAGCAACGCAGCGUGGGGGAUGACGGCCUUCGGGUUGUAAACCGAUUUCGCCUGUGAUGAAGCGUGAGUGACGGUAAUGGGUAAAGAAGCACCGGCUAACUACGUG
This 464-nucleotide ribosomal RNA is filed under the name uncultured bacterium. RNAcentral's name for it is "partial 16S ribosomal RNA". It matches the Rfam family "Bacterial small subunit ribosomal RNA", at positions 30 to 507 of the family's 1533-position model. The record is from RNAcentral.